Molecule: non-coding RNA, 116 nt
Filed under: Chloropicon laureae
Lineage: Eukaryota; Viridiplantae; Chlorophyta; Chloropicophyceae; Chloropicales; Chloropicaceae
Source: RNAcentral
CACUCGCUCGGUUGCGACUGGAAGGGCGUCAAGUCCGGCUCCUCCGAGUACGGCACCGUCGCCGCCUGCUUCAGCUCCCAGUCCAACAAGCUCAUCAACUCGGGAGAGGGUGGCUU